This 328-nucleotide unclassified non-coding RNA is filed under the name soil metagenome. RNAcentral's name for it is "partial contains 5.8S ribosomal RNA, internal transcribed spacer 2, and large subunit ribosomal RNA". The stretch from base 1 to 120 matches the Rfam family "5.8S ribosomal RNA", at positions 35 to 154 of the family's 154-position model. The record is from RNAcentral.
GAUGAAGAACGUAGCGAAAUGCGAUAAGUAAUGUGAAUUGCAGAAUUCAGUGAAUCAUCGAAUCUUUGAACGCACAUUGCGCCCCUUGGUAUUCCGAGGGGCAUGCCUGUUCGAGCGUCAUAUAACCCCUCAAGCUCAGCUUGGUGUUGGGGCCUGCUGCACUGGCAGCCCUUAAAAUCAGUGGCGGCGCCAUCUGGCUCUAAGCGUAGUAAUUCUUCUCGCUAUGGAGUCCUGGUGGAUGCUUGCCAUCAACCCCCAAUUUUUCUAUGGUUGACCUCGGAUCAGGUAGGGAUACCCGCUGAACUUAAGCAUAUCAAUAAGCGGAGGA